Molecule: ribosomal RNA, 269 nt
Filed under: uncultured prokaryote
Description: partial 16S ribosomal RNA
Rfam family: Bacterial small subunit ribosomal RNA
Source: RNAcentral
UACAGAGGGGGCAAGCGUUAUUCGGAAUUAUUGGGCGUAAAGGGCGCGUAGGCGGUUCUUUAAGUCAGAUGUGUAAUCCCCGAGCUCAACUUGGGAACUGCAUCUGAGACUGGGGGACUAGAGUGCUGGAGAGGGUGGUAGAAUUCCACGUGUAGCGGUGAAAUGCGUAGAGAUGUGGAGGAAUACCAGUGGCGAAGGCGGCCACCUGGACAGUAACUGACGCUGAGGCGCGAAAGUGUGGGUAGCAAACAGGAUUAGAUACCCUUGUA